GGGUCUGCGUCUCAUUAGCUAGUUGGUAGGGUAAUGGCCUACCAAGGCAACGAUGAGUAGCUGGUCUGAGAGGAUGAUCAGCCACACUGGAACUGAAACACGGUCCAGACUCCUACGGGAGGCAGCAGUGGGGAAUAUUGCGCAAUGGGCGAAAGCCUGACGCAGCAACGCCGUGUGAGGGAUGAAGGCUUUCGGGUCGUAAACCUCUGUCGGAAGGGAAGAACGGGCAAUGGUCUAAUAGGCCGUUGUUUUGACGGUACCUUUAGAGGAAGCACCGGCUAACUCCGUGCCAGCAGCCGCGGUAAUACGGAGGGUGCAAGCGUUAUUCGGAAUUACUGGGCGUAAAGCGCACGUAGGCGGCCUUGUAAGUCAGGGGUGAAAUCCCACGGCUCAACCGUGGAACUGCCUUUGAAACUGCAGGGCUUGAAUCCUGGAGAGGGUGGCGGAAUUCCUGGUGUAGGAGUGAAAUCCGUAGAUAUCAGGAGGAACACCGGUGGCGAAGGCGGCCACCUGGACAGGUAUUGACGCUGAGGUGCGAAAGUGUGGGGAGCAAACAGGAUUAGAUACCCUGGUAGUCCACACCGUAAACGAUGGACACUAGAUGUCGGAC
RNAcentral lists this ribosomal RNA (610 nucleotides) under uncultured sulfate-reducing bacterium. Its description in RNAcentral is "bacterial SSU rRNA". It matches the Rfam family "Bacterial small subunit ribosomal RNA", at positions 227 to 828 of the family's 1533-position model. The record is from RNAcentral.